RNAcentral lists this long non-coding RNA (302 nucleotides) under Homo sapiens (human). RNAcentral's name for it is "HSALNT0246343". The record is from RNAcentral. Lineage: Eukaryota; Metazoa; Chordata; Mammalia; Primates; Hominidae.
GAAGAAUCCAGUGGCUGGAGCCUCGGGACCUUGCCUCUGAGCUGGCUUGGCUGUGGGGAGGGGUCUCUGGCCUCCCCUCCCUGCUCUGUGCUUGCAGCCUCACCUCCUGGUCCCAGGCUGGGUGAGGUGGAGUCUUGAGCCUGGUGAGGAUGUGUGCAUCCGCCUGGCCACACUUCAGCUCCCCUGAUGAGAGUAAGAAGCCCCCCAGCCCAUAAUUUCCUGAAGUGAUCCUAGCUCCUCUGGAGGAGUCUCCCAUCUGUCUGCAUCAAACCUGGAAAGUGGGGGAUGGAGCAUGAGGCGGG